CCGAGUGCGAACCCCCCCGUAAAAAAGGGGGGUUACCUCCCGUCCUUUGCUGGACAACCCCCUCCAAUCGGAUGGGGGUUGUUUUCAGACUCCUUCUGCUUCGGCGGGGUAACUCGCCGGAACAACCUCAAAAUAUUCUCAGUUAAAAAACCGUUCAGUCCGAGAAACUUUUUUAAAAGCGAUA
Molecule: unclassified non-coding RNA, 184 nt
Filed under: uncultured fungus
Lineage: Eukaryota; Fungi
Description: sequence contains ITS1
Source: RNAcentral